GGACGAAUAUUGGGCAAUGGGCGAAAGCCUGACCCAGCGACGCCGCGUGUGGGAGGAAGUCCUUCGGGAUGUAAACCACUGUCAGGGGUUACCAAGUGAAGGGGCCUAAUAUGCCCCCUAAUUGAGGAGCCCCAAAGGAAGCCACGGCUAACUUCGUGCCAGCAGCCGCGGUAAGACGAAGGUGGCUAGCGUUGUUCGGAAUCACUGGGCUUAAAGAGCACGUAGGCGGCCUGUUAAGCACUUUGUGAAAUCCCUCGGCUUAACCGGGGAAUUGCUUGGUGUACUGGCAGGCUUGAGGCAAGUAAGGGCGCGUGGAACUCUUGGUGGAGCGGUGAAAUGCGUAGAUAUCAAGAGGAACGCCGGAGGCGAAAGCGAUGCGCUGGGCUUGUCCUGACGCUGAGGUGCGAAAGCCAGGGGAGCAAACGGG
RNAcentral lists this ribosomal RNA (427 nucleotides) under uncultured bacterium. RNAcentral describes it as "bacterial SSU rRNA". It matches the Rfam family "Bacterial small subunit ribosomal RNA", at positions 355 to 776 of the family's 1533-position model. The record is from RNAcentral.